Molecule: ribosomal RNA, 2153 nt
Filed under: Acinetobacter baumannii
Lineage: Bacteria; Pseudomonadati; Pseudomonadota; Gammaproteobacteria; Moraxellales; Moraxellaceae
Description: partial 23S ribosomal RNA
Rfam family: Bacterial large subunit ribosomal RNA
Source: RNAcentral
GGUUAAGUUAGAAAGGGCGCACGGUGGAUGCCUUGGCACUAGGAGCCGAUGAAGGACGGGACGAACACCGAUAUGCUUCGGGGAGCUGUAAGCAAGCUUUGAUCCGGAGAUUUCCGAAUGGGGAAACCCACCACUCGUAAUGGAGUGGUAUCCAUAUCUGAAUUCAUAGGAUAUGAGAAGGCAGACCCGGGGAACUGAAACAUCUAAGUACCCGGAGGAAGAGAAAGCAAAUGCGAUUCCCUGAGUAGCGGCGAGCGAAACGGGAUUAGCCCAAACCAAGAGGCUUGCCUCUUGGGGUUGUAGGACACUCUGUACGGAGUUACAAAGGAACGAGGUAGAUGAAGAGGUCUGGAAAGGCCCGCCAUAGAAGGUAACAGCCCUGUAGUCAAAACUUCGUUCUCUCCUGAGUGGAUCCUGAGUACGGCGGAACACGUGAAAUUCCGUCGGAAUCCGGGAGGACCAUCUCCCAAGGCUAAAUACUCCCUAGUGACCGAUAGUGAACCAGUACCGUGAGGGAAAGGUGAAAAGCACCCCGGAAGGGGAGUGAAAGAGAUCCUGAAACCGUGUGCCUACAAGUAGUCAGAGCCCGUUAACGGGUGAUGGCGUGCCUUUUGUAGAAUGAACCGGCGAGUUACGAUCCCGUGCAAGGUUAAGCAGAAGAUGCGGAGCCGCAGCGAAAGCGAGUCUGAAUAGGGCGCAUGAGUACGUGGUCGUAGACCCGAAACCAGGUGAUCUACCCAUGUCCAGGGUGAAGUUCAGGUAACACUGAAUGGAGGCCCGAACCCACGCACGUUGAAAAGUGCGGGGAUGAGGUGUGGGUAGGGGUGAAAUGCCAAUCGAACCUGGAGAUAGCUGGUUCUCUCCGAAAUAGCUUUAGGGCUAGCCUCAAGGUAAGAGUCUUGGAGGUAGAGCACUGAUUGGACUAGGGGCCCCUACCGGGUUACCGAAUUCAGUCAAACUCCGAAUGCCAAUGACUUAUCCUUGGGAGUCAGACUGCGAGUGAUAAGAUCCGUAGUCGAAAGGGAAACAGCCCAGACCGCCAGCUAAGGUCCCAAAGUAUACGUUAAGUGGAAAAGGAUGUGGAGUUGCUUAGACAACCAGGAUGUUGGCUUAGAAGCAGCCACCAUUUAAAGAGUGCGUAAUAGCUCACUGGUCGAGUGACUCUGCGCCGAAAAUGUACCGGGGCUAAACGUAUCACCGAAGCUGCGGACUGUUCUUCGAACAGUGGUAGGAGAGCGUUCUAAGGGCUGUGAAGCCAGACCGGAAGGACUGGUGGAGCGCUUAGAAGUGAGAAUGCCGGUAUGAGUAGCGAAAGAGGGGUGAGAAUCCCCUCCACCGAAUGCCUAAGGUUUCCUGAGGAAGGCUCGUCCGCUCAGGGUUAGUCGGGACCUAAGCCGAGGCCGAAAGGCGUAGGCGAUGGACAACAGGUUGAUAUUCCUGUACCACCUCCUCACCAUUUGAGCAAUGGGGGGACGCAGGAGGAUAGGGUAAGCGCGGUAUUGGAUAUCCGCGUCCAAGCAGUUAGGCUGGGAAAUAGGCAAAUCCGUUUCCCAUAAGGCUGAGCUGUGAUGGCGAGCGAAAUUUAGUAGCGAAGUUCCUGAUUCCACACUGCCAAGAAAAGCCUCUAGCGAGGUGAGAGGUGCCCGUACCGCAAACCGACACAGGUAGGCGAGGAGAGAAUCCUAAGGUGAUCGAGAGAACUCUCGUUAAGGAACUCGGCAAAAUGACCCCGUAACUUCGGGAGAAGGGGUGCUCUGUUAGGGUGCAAGCCCGAGAGAGCCGCAGUGAAUAGGCCCAGGCGACUGUUUAGCAAAAACACAGGUCUCUGCGAAGCCGUAAGGCGAAGUAUAGGGGCUGACGCCUGCCCGGUGCUGGAAGGUUAAGAGGAGCGCUUAGCGUAAGCGAAGGUGCGAAUUGAAGCCCCAGUAAACGGCGGCCGUAACUAUAACGGUCCUAAGGUAGCGAAAUUCCUUGUCGGGUAAGUUCCGACCCGCACGAAAGGCGCAACGAUCUGGGCACUGUCUCAACGAGAGACUCGGUGAAAUUAUAGUACCUGUGAAGAUGCAGGUUACCCGCGACAGGACGGAAAGACCCCGUGGAGCUUUACUGCAGCCUGAUAUUGAAUGUUGGUACAGCUUGUACAGGAUAGGUAG